Molecule: non-coding RNA, 94 nt
Organism: Fusarium tricinctum
Lineage: Eukaryota; Fungi; Ascomycota; Sordariomycetes; Hypocreales; Nectriaceae
Source: the annotation of a GenBank genome assembly
GCCAAGAUGGCCGAGUGGUUUAAGGCGCUGCAUUUAAGAUUUAUCUUCAUCUGCAGUAUCGAAAGAUGCUUGGGUUCGAACCCCAAUCUUGGCA